AAUUAUAAUUUAAAUAUACUUUAAAUAUGUAUAAUAUAGUAUGAAUUUAGAAGUAAUUUUAUAUUAUUUAUAUAAAAUGAAUAAAGUAAUAUUUGCGUACAUACCGCCCGUCACUCCCCCCCAAUAUGGAGAAGUCGUAACAAGGUAAAAGUUCUGGAAAGAGUUUUUUAGAUUAUU
Molecule: ribosomal RNA, 177 nt
Filed under: Sacculina carcini
Lineage: Eukaryota; Metazoa; Arthropoda; Thecostraca; Sacculinidae
Description: partial 12S ribosomal RNA
Source: RNAcentral